Molecule: ribosomal RNA, 433 nt
Filed under: uncultured bacterium
Lineage: Bacteria
Description: partial 16S ribosomal RNA
Rfam family: Bacterial small subunit ribosomal RNA
Source: RNAcentral
AACGAACGCUGGCGGCAUGCCUAACACAUGCAAGUCGAACGAGACCUUCGGGUCUAGUGGCGCACGGGUGCGUAACGCGUGGGAACCUGCCCUUAGGUUCGGAAUAACUCCCCGAAAGGGGUGCUAAUACCGGUUAAUGUCUUCGGACCAAAGAUUUAUCGCCUUUGGAUGGGCCCGCGUUGGAUUAGCUAGUUGGUAGGGUAAAAGCCUACCAAGGCGACGAUCCAUAGCUGGUCUGAGAGGAUGAUCAGCCACACUGGGACUGAGACACGGCCCAGACUCCUACGGGAGGCAGCAGUGGGGAAUCUUGGACAGUGGGCGAAAGCCUGAUCCAGCAAUGCCGCGUGAGUGAUGAAGGCCUUAGGGUUGUAAAGCUCUUUUACCCGGGAUGAUAAUGACAGUACCGGGAGAAUAAGCUCCGGCUAACUCCGUG